This 461-nucleotide ribosomal RNA is filed under the name uncultured bacterium. RNAcentral describes it as "partial 16S ribosomal RNA". It matches the Rfam family "Bacterial small subunit ribosomal RNA", at positions 339 to 795 of the family's 1533-position model. The record is from RNAcentral.
CUACGGGAGGCUGCAGUCGAGAAUCUUCCGCAAUGGACGAAAGUCUGACGGAGCGACGCCGCGUGCGGGAUGAAGGCCUUCGGGUUGUAAACCGCUGUCAGUGGGGAGGAAAUGCAUCAGGGUUCUCCCUGGUGUUUGACCGAUCCGCAGAGGAAGCGCAGGCUAAGUUCGUGCCAGCAGCCGCGGUAACACGAACUGCGCGAACGUUAUUCGGAAUCACUGGGCUUAAAGAGUUCGUAGGCGGCCUUUCAAGUCGGGUGUGAAAUCCCUCGGCUCAACCGAGGAAUUGCGCCUGAUACUGUUGGGCUGGAGGGGGAUAGGGGCGAGCGGAACUGAUGGUGGAGCGGUGAAAUGCGUUGAUAUCAUCAGGAACACCGGUGGCGAAGGCGGCUCACUGGAUCUCUUCUGACGCUGAGGAACGAAAGCUAGGGGAGCGAACGGGAUUAGAUACCCUUGUAGUC